This 316-nucleotide ribosomal RNA is filed under the name uncultured Sandona. RNAcentral describes it as "SSU rRNA". The stretch from base 97 to 316 matches the Rfam family "Eukaryotic small subunit ribosomal RNA", at positions 734 to 955 of the family's 1831-position model. Lineage: Eukaryota; Cercozoa; Glissomonadida. The record is from RNAcentral.
GACUUCUGGUUUAAUGCACCUGGCCCGCGGCCCACAAGGCCUGUGAGUGCCGGCGCGCGUUUACCAUCCUUCCAGCAACGGCUACCCUUAACUGGGCGGCUGGAACUGGAUCUUUUACUUUGAAAAAAUUAGAGUGUUUAAAGCAGGCGUUUGCUCUGAAUACAUUAGCAUGGAAUAAUAAUCUAGGACUUCGGUUCUAUUUUGUUGGUUUCUAUAACUGAAGUAAUGAUUAAAAGGGAUAGUUGGGGGUGCUAGUAUUGGCCGGUCAGAGGUGAAAUUCUUGGAUUCGGUCAAGACUAACUUAUGCGAAAGCAUU